UGGGGAAUAUUGGGCAAUGGGGGAAACCCUGACCCAGCGACGCCGCGUGGAGGAAGGAGCCCUUCGGGGUGUAGACUCCUGUUGUAAGGGAAGAAGGCAGUGACGGUACCUUACGAGGAAGCCCCGGCAAACUACGUGCCAGCAGCCGCGGUAACACGUAGGGGGCGAGCGUUGUCCGGAAUUACUGGGCGUAAAGCGCACGCAGGCGGAUGCGCGCGUCGGCUGUGAAAUGCACCGGCUCAACCGGUGUACUGCGGUCGAUACGGCGCAUCUGGAGUGCGGGAGAGGGAAGCGGAAUUCCCGGUGUAGCGGUGAAAUGCGUAGAUAUCGGGAGGAACGCCGGUGGCGAAGGCGGCUUCCUGGCCCGCAACUGACGCUCAUGUGCGAAAGCCAGGGGAGCGAACCG
This 406-nucleotide ribosomal RNA is filed under the name uncultured bacterium. Its description in RNAcentral is "bacterial SSU rRNA". It matches the Rfam family "Bacterial small subunit ribosomal RNA", at positions 355 to 775 of the family's 1533-position model. The record is from RNAcentral.